Prosopis cineraria is the source of this 2161-nucleotide RNA transcript. RefSeq lists it as uncharacterized. The record is from RefSeq and is a predicted model, not a curated record. The transcript has 2 exons. Lineage: Eukaryota; Viridiplantae; Streptophyta; Magnoliopsida; Fabales; Fabaceae.
GUGUUUGUACUAAAUAUGGUUACCAAAUCCAACUCGGAUAAAUAACUAUGUAAAUUUGCUUCAUAAAAUUUAUCCUCCCAAAGUCCAAUAUUUUAGCUUUAAGCAAGAGAUCAAAAUCUUCAAAUAAUUUUAGCCCAAAUCGAGUGUGACGGGGAUGAAAAAAAUUAAAGAUGAUUUUAGUAAAUAGAAUGCUAUGGAAAUUUACUACCUUUCUUAAGCAUCAGGCAAAUAAAGAUGCUGACGGACCUCCUUGGCUUAGUGUACGUUUUUCUUUGAAGUGAAAAAAUGAAAAAGCACCACUGUUUGUUGACAGCCUUUAACACCGAACAUUUUCUAAGGAUGUCAACAAUUACAUUUACAGGCAAUCACUUUCUGCACUAGAGUCAUAACAAUUGAGGCAAACAGGGUUUGUUCCUAUUCGUGUUUCAAAUUGGAAUCCCGCAAUUAAUUAAAUCUGUUGCCAAUUCUAUUCCUGUUUACCCAAUGGCAUGUUUCUCUUUCCCUAAGAAAACAUGUCAGGAUAGUUUGGUAUCUGAUUUUUGGUGGGGUCAGAAAGCCAAUGAUUGUAAUAAAAUUCAUUAGAAAAAUUGGGAAAGAAUGACACAAUCAAAAUGGGAAGGGGGCAUGUGUUUUAGGAACUUCCAAUGUUUUAAUGAAGCUUUACUUGCCAAGACUGCUUGGAGAAUGAUCUAGCGGCCUGAUGAAUUUUGGUGCGGGGUCCUUAAAGGGAGAUAUUUUCCUACUUAUUCCAUUUUGAAUGAUGUAAAAGGAAAUAAGGCUUCAUGGGUUGGUCUAGUAUCUUGAAAUGGCGUGAUUUAUUAUUGAAAGGGGCUAUUUGGAGGAUUAGGGAUGGUAUGGAUGUAAGGGUAUGGUAUGAUAGGUGGAUUCUUGGGUUGGAAAGUGGUACGUUGAGUAGGAAAAUUUGAUUGAGGAUGAGAAGAAGAUUAAGGUAGCUGACCUUAUGAGAGAUGAUCAAUGGGAUUUGUCCUUAUUCAGUGGUUGUAUUUCUGAUGCUGAAUUUGAUUUUAUUUUGCAGAUUUUCUUCUCCCAGCAUCAUCUCUCGGAUAAAUUGAUUUGGCAACAUAUGAGAAAUGGUUCUUAUUCAGUCAAGUGACUCAAGUCGGGCUGCCCCUUUGCCUUGCAUCAAUUCAAUUCUACUCCUUCUAGUAAGCCGUCUUGGUCCUUCUGAUUAUCUCGGCAUGUAUGGAAGAGUGUUCGGAACUUGCAGGCCCCUCCUAAGAUUCUGCACUUUGUGUGGAGGGUGUUGAAUGGUGCUCUUGCUACUAAGGAUGCACUAUUCAAGAGGAAGUGUUGUACUUCACCUACUUGUCCUAUAUGUGGGCGUGAUGCUAAAAUUACUGAGCAUUUAUUGCUCUUAUGUUCAUGGGUAAAACACUGCUGGUUUGGAUGUUCAUUGAGCUUUCUGAUUGAUAAGAAUAAUGUUCGAAGUAUUGAGGAAUGGUGGGCAGACUUGCUUGUGGGAAGAAAGGACUUAAUGAGUUUGACAAGAGUUUCUUGGCUUUUUUGGGUUGGGAAAUUUGGAAGGAACGAUGUGAGAUGGUGUUUACUGGCAGAAAUGUUAAUGCAAGGAGGGUGGUUGACAAAGCUUCAUGGGCCGCGGAGGAAUUUUGGAAAACUGAGAAGUCAUGUCUUGUUUCUGGUCAAGUUGGCUUUGCUUCUCGGAGAAAUAAGUCUCUUUCUGAGAUCCGUUGCAGGUUAUGAUUGGAAGUAUCAAACGCUGCUGCUGGAUUGUUUUAAUGCUCGAGUCUCAGCUAGGUAUUUUCUUUUCCUUGAUUAACCGUCAAGGUAAUACUGCUGUUGAUAACUUGGCAGCUAAGUGUGUGUUGGAGAUGUACCCCAACGGGUGGAUUGUGGAUAUUCACCAUCGCCUUUGUCCAUGUUGAUGUUGGCUGACGUAAGAAGUUUCAUGAAAUCUAGUGGUGUAGUGGAUGGCUUGUGGAAUCGAGAACGAAUAGGUUGAGGAUCUGUUAUUUUGAUGACUGUUCGUUUUCUGGUUUUGUUUUGUUAAUAGACUGGAUUCUUGGUUUAUUUUGUUUUCCUAGGUUGUAUGCUUGGUUUGCUUCUAGUUUUUGUGUUUUUUUUUUUAUUAUUAGUGUGUGUAUUAACUCUCUUUCUUUUGUGAUUAAUAAAAUGGGCUCUC